This 234-nucleotide unclassified non-coding RNA is filed under the name Hevea brasiliensis (rubber tree). The record is from RNAcentral. Lineage: Eukaryota; Viridiplantae; Streptophyta; Magnoliopsida; Malpighiales; Euphorbiaceae.
CAUAUCCUCUCCUUGCUCCACAUCAUCCAGAUCAUCAUCAUCGUCAUCAUCUUCAUUCAGUGGCUCAUCAUCAUCAUCAUCUCCAGCAUCAUUUUGAGGGGCAACAGCAGGUGUGCUUGCUUGUAGGUCAUUAGGAGCUGGUGUGUUCGCAAUGUUGUAAUCUUCAUUGACAACUCCUUGAUAAUUGUAUAUAUUGGGAGUUGACAGCACAUCAUCAUAAGGAUCAGGUAUGGG